AGAGUUUGAUCCUGGCUCAGGAUGAACGCUAGCGGCAGGCCUAACACAUGCAAGUCGAGGGGUAACAGAGAAGCUUGCUUCUGCUGACGACCGGCGCACGGGUGCGUAACGCGUAUGCAACCUACCUCAUACAGGAGAAUAGCCCUUGGAAACGAGGAUUAAUACUCCAUAGUAUCAUUCUUUCGCAUGUUAGAAUGAUUAAAGAAUUUCGGUAUGAGAUGGGCAUGCGUCCCAUUAGCUUGUUGGUGAGGUAACGGCUCACCAAGGCAACGAUGGGUAGGGGGCCUGAGAGGGUGGUCCCCCACACUGGUACUGAGACACGGACCAGACUCCUACGGGAGGCAGCAGUGAGGAAUAUUGGUCAAUGGAGGAAACUCUGAACCAGCCAUGCCGCGUGAAGGAUGACGGCCCUAUGGGUUGUAAACUUCUUUUAUAUGGGAAGAAACUUAUCUACGUGUAGAUAACUGACGGUACCAUACGAAUAAGGAUCGGCUAACUCCGUGCCAGCAGCCGCGGUAAUACGGAGGAUCCAAGCGUUAUCCGGAUUCAUUGGGUUUAAAGGGUCCGUAGGCGGAUUUUUAAGUCAGUGGUGAAAGCCGACAGCUCAACUGUCGAACUGCCAUUGAUACUGGAAAUCUUGAGUACAAAUGAAGUAGGCGGAAUGAGUCAUGUAGCGGUGAAAUGCAUAGAUAUGACUCAGAACACCGAUUGCGAAGGCAGCUUACUAACAUGUAACUGACGCUGAGGGACGAAAGCGUGGGGAGCGAACAGGAUUAGAUACCCUGGUAGUCCACGCCGUAAACGAUCAUCACUCGCUGUUGGCGAUAUACUGUCAGCGGCCAAGCGAAAGUAUUAAGUGAUGCACCUGGGGAGUACGCCGGCAACGGUGAAACUCAAAGGAAUUGACGGGGGCCCGCACAAGCGGUGGAGCAUGUGGUUUAAUUCGAUGAUACGCGAGGAACCUUACCAGGGCUUAAAUGUAGUAUGACCGGUCUGGAAACAGACCUUCCCUUCGGGGCAGAUUACAAGGUGCUGCAUGGCUGUCGUCAGCUCGUG
This 1056-nucleotide ribosomal RNA is filed under the name uncultured bacterium. RNAcentral's name for it is "bacterial SSU rRNA". It matches the Rfam family "Bacterial small subunit ribosomal RNA", at positions 8 to 1064 of the family's 1533-position model. The record is from RNAcentral.